UACGGAGGGUGCGAGCGUUGUCCGGAAUCAUUGGGCGUAAAGGGCGCGUAGGUGGCCCGGUCAGUUCGUGGUGAAAGCGCGGGGCUCAACCCUGCGUCGGCCAUGAAUACUGCCGCGGCUGGAGCACUGUAGAGGCAGGCGGAAUUCCGGGUGUAGCGGUGGAAUGCGUAGAGAUCCGGAAGAACACCGGUGGCGAAGGCGGCUCACUGGACUGGUAUUGACGCUGAGGUGCGAAAGCGUGGGGAGCAAACAGGG
Molecule: ribosomal RNA, 255 nt
Filed under: uncultured bacterium
Lineage: Bacteria
Description: partial 16S ribosomal RNA
Rfam family: Bacterial small subunit ribosomal RNA
Source: RNAcentral